GCGGUGGAUGAUGUGGAUUAAUUCGAUGCAACGCGAAAACCUUACCUACCCUUGACAUGUCCGGAAUCCGAAGAGAUUUGGGAGUGCUCGAAAGAGAACCGUAACACAGGUGCUGCAUGGCUGUCGUCAGCUCGUGUCGUGAGAUGUUGGGUUAAGUCCCGCAACGAGCGCAACCCUUGUCAUUAGUUGCCAUCAUUUGGUUGGGCACUCUAAUGAGACUGCCGGUGACAAACCGGAGGAAGGUGGGGAUGACGUCAAGUCCUCAUGGCCCUUAUGGGUAGGGCUUCACACGUCAUACAAUGGUCGGUACAGAGGGUUGCCAACCCGCGAGGGGGAGCUAAUCCCACAAAGCCGAUCGUAGUCCGGAUCGCAGUCUGCAACUCGACUGCGUGAAGUCGGAAUCGCUAGUAAUCGUGGAUCAGCAUGUCACGGUGAAUACGUUCCCGGGUCUU
Molecule: ribosomal RNA, 452 nt
Filed under: uncultured Rhodocyclaceae bacterium
Lineage: Bacteria; Pseudomonadati; Pseudomonadota; Betaproteobacteria; Rhodocyclales; Rhodocyclaceae
Description: bacterial SSU rRNA
Rfam family: Bacterial small subunit ribosomal RNA
Source: RNAcentral